Molecule: ribosomal RNA, 468 nt
Filed under: uncultured bacterium
Lineage: Bacteria
Description: partial 16S ribosomal RNA
Rfam family: Bacterial small subunit ribosomal RNA
Source: RNAcentral
GAUGAACGCUGGCGGCGUGCUUAACACAUGCAAGUCGAACGGAAAGGCCCAAGCUUGCUUGGGUACUCGAGUGGCGAACGGGUGAGUAACACGUGGGUGAUCUGCCCUGCACUUCGGGAUAAGCCUGGGAAACUGGGUCUAAUACCGGAUAGGACGAUGGUUUGGAUGCCAUUGUGGAAAGUUUUUUCGGUGUGGGAUGAGCUCGCGGCCUAUCAGCUUGUUGGUGGGGUAAUGGCCUACCAAGGAGUCGACGGGUAGCCGGCCUGUGAGGGUGUACGGCCACAUUGGGACUGGGAUACGGCCCAGACUCCUACGGGAGGCAGCAGUGGGGAAUAUUGCACAAUGGGCGCAAGCCUGAUGCAGCGACGCCGAGUGGGGGAUGACGGCCUUCGGGUUGUAAACUCCUUUCGCUAGGGAUGAAGCGUUUUUGUGACGGUACCUGGAGAAGAAGCACCGGCUAACUACGUG